RNAcentral lists this long non-coding RNA (3592 nucleotides) under Hordeum vulgare. RNAcentral's name for it is "long non-coding RNA (HVUL_LNC015435)". Lineage: Eukaryota; Viridiplantae; Streptophyta; Magnoliopsida; Poales; Poaceae. The record is from RNAcentral.
CGUUUUGGCCACCAGCGAGCCCCAAUACAAAGUUGCGCCGUCCACCACCGCCCAAACCACCAGAAGCCUUCACGUGUCCCUGCCCCGCCUCUGUGCUCGCUGCAGCUCAUCGUCGUGGCCUGAGCUGCGCAGAGCAUGCUCUAUGUAGUCGUCGCGCCCGAGCAGUGUCGUUCCAUUGAGCGGCGCCAUCACCGCAAAUUAGAGCAAGCUUAGAGGUAAAACGGAGCCCCCUUGAGAUGUUGUAGCUAUCCCAUUCACCGUAACCCCCUCCUGAUCGCUCUGGCUCGCCGUGAUCAGCGUCGAAGUUAAGACAGCUUCGAUACUCCCCUGCAAGCCUAUAAAUAGAGGGUACUGAGUGCACCCUCAGCCGCGGCUCCACUCCACACCUCACCAGAGCCGCGCCCAACCCCUCGGAGGAUCUCGAGAGAGUCAUAUUCUCCACCUGCGGCCGCCCCGAUCAGCUUUGGGCUCUGGCAAAAUUCUCUAAGGUGAGCUAGCCCUUGCAGCCCUAAUUUUGCGAGUAGGAUCUAUGAGCAUCCGCCCAUCUAAGCCCUGCCUCAAUUCGGAGUUUGCAGCCCCCUCCGUCGAGAUCAGCCAAUUCGCGAAACCACUGUCCACCAAAGUGAGAGUAGCCACCGACGUGGUGCUCGCCAACAACCUCUUGCACCUCCCUCGGUUGCGGAAGGCCUCGGUGAGUGCACCCGCUCCUUUUCCCCCUUUCUUUCGUAGUGGCACGUCGCUGGUGCCGUCGCGAUGCCUCUGCCACCGGCGAGGAGAUUCGAACAUGACAGUGUUGGCCCACUCUUGGGAUUUUUUAUUUUCGGAAUCAUUUUCUAGAGGCCCCUUUCACAAUAAUGUGUUUUUUCUGUUGACUUUCGCAUUUUUGUCGAACCGUUUUAUUCUUUUCGAGUCUGGUAUUUGUGUGGCAUAGAUACCGAAGGGGAGACGCUGUCGUCAACUUCACCGAGCUAGACUCCGACUUCGCCGACCCAAGCAAGCAUGUUUUUAUGUUUGAUGUGAUGUUUGCUGAUAUGAUUGUUUGAUAACUUUGAUGCAUCAUAACCUACAACAUGGCAUGUCGCAUGAUUUCCCACAUGGAUAUACUAACAACUCAUGAAAUGAUGAGAGGUCGUGGACAUCCUAGUGACGUGGGACGUGAUAGGUUGUGACCUGGUCCUGCGAGAUACACGACAGUAUACGGAUAAAAAUUAAACCUCCAGUAUCGGCAUAGAUCGAGUUUUGUCAAUGUGUCACCUUAUUUCUUUGUACUGCCACAGGUCUUACCGAAAGGGAAUAUGGUUGAGUAGGUCAUAAUCUUAACUCCAUGUGCACGCCAAGUAGAGGGGCCAAGUGAUGGUUAAACCGCCCUCGAAGAAUGCUAGUCAUCCGGUCAGGGGGCAUGAGUGUUUCCGGUCUAGGAUCGAGAGGGGGCACUCCCUUGUAGCGCACAAUAUAAAUUUGGUCCCAUACUAAUCGAGGAUGUUGGCCUCCCCGUCUUAUGGUUUUUCCCCUGGAAGCGUAGUGUGGGUGAUUCCGGACCACCCUAGGUAAAAAUGGGUGUGUGUUAGUUUUGUGUGUUUACUUCUAAAAUACCAUACACGGGAUUAGUCCUUCCGGUUAUGGAAAACCGUUGGCUAUGGGUAAAGAGUACACCCUGUGUAGAGUCAAAACUACUUAAGUAGCCACGUAAACGGUCAAGGAUGACUGGUUGACAGGUCAAGUGCGGGUCUUCAUGUCGGUCUCUCGAGAACAAGUUAUUACUUAUGAAAGCCCUUAUUUGUGGUAUCUGACGGUGAUUUUUGAAACUAACCCGAUGAGACUUUGAUUAUGUUGAAUAUCCCGAAGGUUAGUUGUACCACCCGGAUAUUCAUUUAUUAUAUUAUGCCUUUCCGUGGUGUCGUUGAGACGCCCGACUAUGUCCACUAUAUAUUUUAUUACGCCCUUUCUGUGGUGUCGCUGAGAUGCCCAUGUGUGGCCAGCAUUUAUUUUCUUACGCCCUUUUCGUGGUGUCGCUAAGACGCCCGACUGUGUCUAGUAUUUAUUUUAUUAUACCCUUUCCGUGGUUGUGUAUAGACGUCCGACUUUGGCUUGUUAAUUUAUUAUUAAGCCUUGUAUUCGGUGUCGCUUAGACGCCCGGUGGUGGCAGUUUAUUUUUAUUUGUUAACCUUUUCAGGCGUCGCUUCACACACCCGAUCGGUGCAUUUUACAUUCUUCAAAAUUUCGGGAGGACUACUGCCCGACUUAUCUACCAUGACUUAACUUACUGCUAAACUGUUCACCAUGAUAAUUGUGAUAAUUAACCAUGCAUAUGUAAUUGAUCGCAUUCAUCUUAUAUUAUGUGCAAACAGUCUUGCUAGUACUUUCAAAAUACUCACUUGCUUGUUGAUGUGGCCAGAUAUGGAUGAAGCUGAUCUCAUGGAUUAAGAGUAAGAUAGCGAGUUCAACACCUAGACGAGUCCCAUUCAGUCUUGCGAUCUUGGAGUCCCUCCUUGUAUUAUUCCACCGCUUCCGCCACCAAGAAUAAUUGUCAAUCCUAACCUUGACACUUGGCAUGUAGUAGUAAUUUAACCGUGUCGCUUCACUCCGAGGUGAGAAGCCCGCCUACCAAUGCGAGUAGUAGUAUUACACAUGACCAUUGUGAGAUGACCGCCUUUAAGCCAAAUAUUGGAGUGUUUGUAAUAAACUAUUGAGCGGCCUCCGCUCUACCCUGUUUAAUAUUAAGUACUACUGGUUUUUCUAUAUCAAGUUGGUCUAAGAGUGUGAAUUAUUUUCUAUGUUGGAUGACAUUCAUGGAUGAUUUCCUAUAAUUAUAUUAUUUGGAAACCAGUCCUCACAACCUUGGUAUCAGAGCCAGGAUGACUUUAGGACGCCACUAGGUGCGAUCGCUAGCCGAUUAACUAAUUAGGUUAAUUUGAGUGUUCUACAUGCUGUAGAAUUUGUUAUGCUAGUCAACAUAUAUUUAUGUUAUAACUAUCUACAAAUUUUUGUCUAUUGUGUAGAUGGCUGGCAAGGCUUGUCCGUCACAACUAUUUGCUAACGAGCCGACGGAAUUUUCACGACUCCUCUCCAUCAUUGUCAGGAUCGUGACUGGACCAACGACUCGUACCAAGUACACGCUCUACCACCACAGGAUUAGCGACUCAUUGACUAUGCGUAAGGCCUCGGUACAGUUCAAAGGUGGACGCAUCAAGACCCACCCUCUUCGCUUUGUCGGGGGAGCCAUGCCUACGGAGAGGCACGCUAUGCAGAUGGCUGUUAGGGAGGCAAUUGCAUGCCUCCGAGGCAUCCUUCCGGUGAUGAAGACUCAUCCUUAUCACUACCUGUUACCUCUUUAGCUUGCGUUGGUUUUCCCUUGAAGAGGAAAGGGUGAUGCAAUGAAGUAGAUAAGUAUUUCUCUUAGUUUUUGAGAACCAAUGUAUGAGUCCAGUAGGAGGAACAAGCAAGGCCCCAAUAGUAGUACCGACACAAAUAAUCAAACUCUUGCACCCAACGCUAUAAAGGGGUUGUCAAUCCCUUCAGAGAUAUUUGCAAGGAUGAGAUCUGAUAGAGAUAGAUAUAAAAGAUUGCGGAAACAAAAAUAAAUAAAUUGCAG